CGAACGCUGGCGGCGCGCCUAACACAUGCAAGUCGAACGAGCGAGAGAGAGCUUGCUUUCUCGAGCGAGUGGCGAACGGGUGAGUAACGCGUGAGGAACCUGCCUCAAAGAGGGGGACAACAGUUGGAAACGACUGCUAAUACCGCAUAAGCCCACGACCCGGCAUCGGGUUGAGGGAAAAGGAGUAAUCCGCUUUGAGAUGGCCUCGCGUCCGAUUAGCUAGUUGGUGAGGUAACGGCCCACCAAGGCGACGAUCGGUAGCCGGACUGAGAGGUUGAACGGCCACAUUGGGACUGAGACACGGCCCAGACUCCUACGGGAGGCAGCAGUGGGGAAUAUUGCACAAUGGGGGAAACCCUGAUGCAGCGACGCCGCGUGGAGGAAGAAGGUCUUCGGAUUGUAAACUCCUGUUGUUGGGGAAGAUAAUGACGGUACCCAACAAGGAAGUGACGGCUAACUACGUGCCAGCAGCCGCGGUAAAACGUAGGUCACAAGCGUUGUCCGGAAUUACUGGGUGUAAAGGGAGCGCAGGCGGGAAGACAAGUUGGAAGUGAAAUCCAUGGGCUUAACCCAUGAACUGCUUUCAAAACUGUUUUUCUUGAGUAGUGCAGAGGUAGGCGGAAUUCCCGGUGUAGCGGUGGAAUGCGUAGAUAUCGGGAGGAACACCAGUGGCGAAGGCGGCCUACUGGGCACCAACUGACGCUGAGGCUCGAAAGUGUGGGUAGCAAACAGGAUUAGAUACCCUGGUAGUCCACACCGUAAACGAUGAUUACUAGGUGUUGGAGGAUUGACCCUUCAGUGCCGCAGUUAACACAAUAAGUAAUCCACCUGGGGAGUACGACCGCAAGGUUGAAACUCAAAGGAAUUGACGGGGGCCCGCACAAGCAGUGGAGUAUGUGGUUUAAUUCGACGCAACGCGAAGAACCUUACCAAGUCUUGACAUCCUGUGACAGACGUAGAAAUACGUUCUUCCUUCGGGACACAGAGACAGGUGGUGCAUGGUUGUCGUCAGCUCGUGUCGUGAGAUGUUGGGUUAAGUCCCGCAACGAGCGCAACCCUUAUGGUCAGUUACUACGCAAGAGGACUCUGGCUAGACUGCCGUUGACAAAACGGAGGAAGGUGGGGAUGACGUCAAAUCAUCAUGCCCUUUAUGACUUGGGCUACACACGUACUACAAUGGCGUUAAACAAAGAGAAGCAAGACCGCGAGGUGGAGCAAAACUCAGAAACAACGUCCCAGUUCGGACUGCAGGCUGCAACUCGCCUGCACGAAGUCGGAAUUGCUAGUAAUCGUGGAUCAGCAUGCCACGGUGAAUACGUUCCCGGGCCUUGUACACACCGCCCG
Molecule: ribosomal RNA, 1344 nt
Filed under: uncultured bacterium
Lineage: Bacteria
Description: 16S ribosomal RNA
Rfam family: Bacterial small subunit ribosomal RNA
Source: RNAcentral